GGCUACAGAACUUUUUCUGUUAACUUAGUAUUCAUAAGAUGACAUAUUUUCUAAAUUAUUGCUUAGUAAAUACCGUAACAAGCUGCAAGUAGUUUAUUGGAAUGUUAAGGUUCAAAUGCCAUAAAGUUUUACAUUUCAUAUUCAGAAUUGAUAUUUGGGUGGCUUCAGAACAGAGUCAAAUUUACAAAAUGUCUUUUGGAAUAGGACUCCAGUUCUAUUUUGCUGGGUUUUGGAAACAGGGCCAUGAUUAAGAGGGGCAGCCAGGGGCAUUUGUAUCGUACCACUAGAGGUGAAAUUCUUGGACCCGCACAAGACAGCCUAGAGCAAAAACAUUUGCCAAGAAUGUUUUAAUUAAUCAAGAAUGAAAGUCAGAGGUUUGAAGUCAAUCAGGUACCACCGUGGUUCCCACUAUAAACUAUUCCAAUAAGCAAGAAGCUUUGUGGGCACGUCUCUGUGGCGCAAUGGGUUAGCGCGUUCGGCUGUUAACCGAAAGGUUGGUGGUUCGAAUCC
This 510-nucleotide non-coding RNA is filed under the name Nipponia nippon (crested ibis). RNAcentral describes it as "Eukaryotic small subunit ribosomal RNA". It matches the Rfam family "Eukaryotic small subunit ribosomal RNA", at positions 636 to 1115 of the family's 1831-position model. The record is from Rfam by way of RNAcentral. Lineage: Eukaryota; Metazoa; Chordata; Aves; Pelecaniformes; Threskiornithidae.